UAAUACGUAGGGGGCCAGCGUUGUCCGGAUUCAUUGGGCGUAAAGCGCGUGUAGGCGGCCAGAUAGGUCUGGUGUGAAAACUGGAGGCUCAACCUCCAGCCGUCAUCGGAAACCAUCUGGCUAGAGUCCGGAAGAGGAGAGUGGAAUUCCUGGUGUAGCGGUGAAAUGCGCAGAUAUCAGGAAGAACACCCAUGGCGAAGGCAGCUCUCUGGGACGGUACUGACGCUGAGACGCGAAAGCGUGGGGAGCGAACAGGAUUAGAUACCCUGGUAGUCCACGCCGUAAACGAUGGGCGCUAGGUGUGGGCGGUGUCGACUCCGUCCGUGCCGAAGCUAACGCAUUAAGCGCCCCGCCUGGGGAGUACGGCCGCAAGGCUAAAACUUAAAUGAAUUGACGG
Molecule: ribosomal RNA, 397 nt
Filed under: uncultured bacterium
Lineage: Bacteria
Description: bacterial SSU rRNA
Rfam family: Bacterial small subunit ribosomal RNA
Source: RNAcentral